CAUAUCUUAGCUUAGAGGUUAAAGCAUCACAUUAAUAAUAUGAUGGUUAUCAGUUCGAUUAUGAUAGUUCUCU
Molecule: transfer RNA, 73 nt
Filed under: Lupinus angustifolius (narrow-leaved blue lupine)
Lineage: Eukaryota; Viridiplantae; Streptophyta; Magnoliopsida; Fabales; Fabaceae
Rfam family: tRNA
About the family: Transfer RNA (tRNA) molecules are approximately 80 nucleotides in length. Their secondary structure includes four short double-helical elements and three loops (D, anti-codon, and T loops). Further hydrogen bonds mediate the characteristic L-shaped molecular structure. tRNAs have two regions of fundamental functional importance: the anti-codon, which is responsible for specific mRNA codon recognition, and the 3' end, to which the tRNAs corresponding amino acid is attached (by aminoacyl-tRNA synthetases). tRNAs cope with the degeneracy of the genetic code in two manners: having more than one tRNA (with a specific anti-codon) for a particular amino acid; and 'wobble' base-pairing, i.e. permitting non-standard base-pairing at the 3rd anti-codon position.
Source: Rfam by way of RNAcentral